GGGCCUGUAGCUCAGGUGGUUAGAGCGCACGCCUGAUAAGCGUGAGGUCGAUGGUUCGAGUCCAUCCAGGCCCA
RNAcentral lists this transfer RNA (74 nucleotides) under Candidatus Phycosocius bacilliformis. It matches the Rfam family "tRNA". Rfam says of the family: Transfer RNA (tRNA) molecules are approximately 80 nucleotides in length. Their secondary structure includes four short double-helical elements and three loops (D, anti-codon, and T loops). Further hydrogen bonds mediate the characteristic L-shaped molecular structure. tRNAs have two regions of fundamental functional importance: the anti-codon, which is responsible for specific mRNA codon recognition, and the 3' end, to which the tRNAs corresponding amino acid is attached (by aminoacyl-tRNA synthetases). tRNAs cope with the degeneracy of the genetic code in two manners: having more than one tRNA (with a specific anti-codon) for a particular amino acid; and 'wobble' base-pairing, i.e. permitting non-standard base-pairing at the 3rd anti-codon position. Lineage: Bacteria; Pseudomonadati; Pseudomonadota; Alphaproteobacteria; Caulobacterales. The record is from Rfam by way of RNAcentral.